Molecule: long non-coding RNA, 267 nt
Organism: Oncorhynchus keta (chum salmon)
Lineage: Eukaryota; Metazoa; Chordata; Actinopteri; Salmoniformes; Salmonidae
Exons: 3
Source: RefSeq, a predicted model, not a curated record
GUUGCACAUGAAAAAGUGUUAUAUUUUCCACCAGGUGGCAUAAAGUGUUAUCUUUUCCACCAGGGGGCAUAAAGUGUUAUAUUUUCCACCAGGUGGCAUAAAGUGUUAUAUUUUCCACCAGGGGGCAUAAAGUGUUAUCUUUUCCACCAGGGGGCAUAAAGUGUUAUCUUUUCCACCAGGGGGCAUAAAGUGUUAUAUUUUCCACCAGGUGGCAUAAAGUGUUAUCUUUUCCACCAGGGGGCAUAAAGUGUUAUCUUUUCCACCAGG